CCCUUAGAUGUCCGGGGCCGCACGCGCGCUACACUGAAGGACUCAGCGUGUCUCUCCCCCUAUCCCGAAAGGGAUGGGCAACCCGUUGAACCUCCUUCGUGCUAGGGAUUGGGGUUUGCAAUUAUCCCCCAUGAACGAGGAAUUCCCAGUAAGCGCGAGUCAUCAGCUCGCGUUGAUUACGUCCCUGCCCUUUGUACACACCGCCCGUCGUUACUACCGAUUGGAUGGUUUAGUGAGACCCUCGGAUCGGUCCCGACUCGGGGUGGGCUUCUGCCCCGGUCGUGGUUUCGCCGAGAAGACGGUCAAACUUGACUAUCUAGAGGAAGUAAAGGUCGUAACA
RNAcentral lists this ribosomal RNA (340 nucleotides) under uncultured eukaryote. RNAcentral describes it as "partial 18S ribosomal RNA". It matches the Rfam family "Eukaryotic small subunit ribosomal RNA", at positions 1470 to 1796 of the family's 1831-position model. The record is from RNAcentral.